Molecule: ribosomal RNA, 774 nt
Filed under: uncultured Neocallimastigales
Lineage: Eukaryota; Fungi; Neocallimastigomycota; Neocallimastigomycetes; Neocallimastigales
Description: partial large subunit ribosomal RNA
Rfam family: Eukaryotic large subunit ribosomal RNA
Source: RNAcentral
UAUGUGAUCGUCUCUCGCAUAUCAAUAAGCGGAGGAAAAGAAACUAACAAGGAUUCCCCUAGUAACGGCGAGUGAAGCGGGAAGAGCUCAAAUUUGAAAUCUUAAAGGGUUUCCCUUUACGAAUUGUAGUUUAAAGAAGUGUUUUCUGUUGAGGUUUUGGUAAAAGUUCUUUGGAAUAGGACAUCAUGGAGGGUGAGAAUCCCGUAUUUGACCUUUACUUUCAACUUUGUGAUACACUUUCAAAGAGUCGGAUUGUUUGGGAAUGCAGUCCAAAAUGGGUGGUAAAUUUCAUCUAAAGCUAAAUAUUGGCGAGAGACCGAUAGCGAACAAGUACCGUGAGGGAAAGAUGAAAAGAACUUUGAAAAGAGAGUUAAACAGUACGUGAAAUUGUCAAAAGGGAAGCGUUUGACACCAGUGUUGUUUUUCUGAAAAUCAAUUAAAGAACUGUUUAUGCUAAGUUGUUUAGACUUUAUCAGCUAACUGUUUAGUUUUGAGCUUUUCUUUAAUGCACUUUUCAGUUAACAAGUCAACAUCAAUUUCUUUUGCUGUAAAAAAGCUUGAGGAAGGUGGCUUGAGAUUCGUCUUAAGUGUUUAUAGCCUCUUGCCUAUGCAGUCGGAGAGAUUGAGGUCUGCAGCGUAGAUCCUUCGGGGCUAAAUGCAUUUGUGCUAAGUUAUAGCAUUUUAUAGACAACUUGUUGACUAUGAUUUGUCUUGUAGCUUACUCGCUUAUGUUAUUUUACCUACGCUUAGGAUGUUGAGUAGCGACAUACGCAC